This 253-nucleotide ribosomal RNA is filed under the name uncultured bacterium. Its description in RNAcentral is "partial 16S ribosomal RNA". It matches the Rfam family "Bacterial small subunit ribosomal RNA", at positions 524 to 776 of the family's 1533-position model. The record is from RNAcentral.
GACGUAGGGCGCGAGCGUUGUCCGGAUUUAUUGGGCGUAAAGAGCUCGUAGGCGGCUUGUCGCGUCGAAUGUGAAAACUCGGGGCUCAACCCCGAGCUUGCAUUCGAUACGGGCAGGCUAGAGUUCGGUAGGGGAGACUGGAAUUCCUGGUGUAGCGGUGAAAUGCGCAGAUAUCAGGAGGAACACCGAUGGCGAAGGCAGGUCUCUGGGCCGAUACUGACGCUGAGGAGCGAAAGCGUGGGGAGCGAACAGG